CAGCACCUCAAGUGGUCAGGAUGAUUAUUGGGCCUAAAGCAUCCGUAGCCGGCGCUGUAAGUUUUCGGUUAAAUCUGUACGCUCAACGUACAGGCUGCCGGGAAUACUGCAGCGCUAGGGAGUGGGAGAGGUAGACGGUACUCGGUAGGAAGGGGUAAAAUCCUUUGAUCUAUUGAUGACCACCUGUGGCGAAGGCGGUCUACCAGAACAUGUCCGACGGUGAGGGAUGAAAGCUGGGGGAGCAAACCGGAUUAGAUACCCGAGUAGUC
RNAcentral lists this ribosomal RNA (269 nucleotides) under uncultured archaeon. RNAcentral describes it as "partial 16S ribosomal RNA". It matches the Rfam family "Archaeal small subunit ribosomal RNA", at positions 477 to 746 of the family's 1478-position model. The record is from RNAcentral.